UACGUAGGGUGCAAGCGUUGUCCGGAAUUAUUGGGCGUAAAGAGCUCGUAGGCGGUUUGUCGCGUCUGCUGUGAAAACCCGAGGCUCAACCUCGGGCCUGCAGUGGGUACGGGCAGACUAGAGUGCGGUAGGGGAGAUUGGAAUUCCUGGUGUAGCGGUGAAAUGCGCAGAUAUCAGGAGGAACACCCGUGGCGAAAGCGGCUCUCUGGAACGGUACUGACGCUGAGACGCGAAAGCGUGGGGAGCGAACAGG
RNAcentral lists this ribosomal RNA (253 nucleotides) under uncultured bacterium. Its description in RNAcentral is "partial 16S ribosomal RNA". It matches the Rfam family "Bacterial small subunit ribosomal RNA", at positions 524 to 776 of the family's 1533-position model. The record is from RNAcentral.